RNAcentral lists this unclassified non-coding RNA (386 nucleotides) under soil metagenome. RNAcentral's name for it is "partial contains 5.8S ribosomal RNA, internal transcribed spacer 2, and large subunit ribosomal RNA". The stretch from base 1 to 122 matches the Rfam family "5.8S ribosomal RNA", at positions 35 to 154 of the family's 154-position model. The record is from RNAcentral.
GAUGAAGAACGCAGCGAAAUGCGAUAAGUAAUGUGAAUUGCAGAAUUCAGUGAAUCAUCGAAUCUUUGAACGCACCUUGCACCCUUUGGACUGCUCCAAAGGGUAUGCUCGUUUGAGUGUCAUUGUACUCUCACACUCUCUGAUCCUUUGGAUUUGGGGAGCAGUGGACUUGGGUGCUUGCUGCUUCCUUGUGGCUCACCUGAAAUGCAUCAGUGCAUCUCUCGAUUGGACAUAGUACGGCGUGAUAAGUGUCUUCGCCGGCACCUCAUAUGAGGGUGGCCGAUCGGGAGCUCUGUGCUUUCAAACCGUCUUCGGACAACGCUGACAACUUGACCUCAAAUCGAGUAGGACUACCCGCUGAACUUAAGCAUAUCAAUAGCGGAGGA